Molecule: ribosomal RNA, 401 nt
Filed under: uncultured bacterium
Lineage: Bacteria
Description: bacterial SSU rRNA
Rfam family: Bacterial small subunit ribosomal RNA
Source: RNAcentral
AGGGAAUAUUGGACAAUGGGGGCAACCCUGAUCCAGCGAUGCCGCGUGAGUGAUGAAGGCCUUCGGGUCGUAAAGCUCUUUCACCUGUGAAGAUAAUGACGGUAGCAGGUAAAGAAGCACCGGCAAACUCUGUGCCAGCAGCCGCGGUAAGACAGAGGGUGCUAGCGUUGUUCGGAAUGACUGGGCGUAAAGGGCGCGUAGGUGGUCUGAAAAGUUAGGUGUGAAAGCCCCGGGCUUAACCUGGGAGGUGCACUUAAUACUUUCAGACUGGAGUGCGAGAGAGGAAAGCGGAAUUCCUAGUGUAGAGGUGAAAUUCGUAGAUAUUAGGAGGAACACCAGAGGCGAAGGCGGCUUUCUGGCUCGCAACUGACACUGAGGCGCGAAAGCGUGGGGAGCAAACA